This 71-nucleotide transfer RNA is filed under the name Bolbitis tonkinensis. RNAcentral describes it as "tRNA-Gly". It matches the Rfam family "tRNA". From Rfam's summary of the family: Transfer RNA (tRNA) molecules are approximately 80 nucleotides in length. Their secondary structure includes four short double-helical elements and three loops (D, anti-codon, and T loops). Further hydrogen bonds mediate the characteristic L-shaped molecular structure. tRNAs have two regions of fundamental functional importance: the anti-codon, which is responsible for specific mRNA codon recognition, and the 3' end, to which the tRNAs corresponding amino acid is attached (by aminoacyl-tRNA synthetases). tRNAs cope with the degeneracy of the genetic code in two manners: having more than one tRNA (with a specific anti-codon) for a particular amino acid; and 'wobble' base-pairing, i.e. permitting non-standard base-pairing at the 3rd anti-codon position. RNAcentral also lists the same sequence under 1 other name. The record is from RNAcentral. Lineage: Eukaryota; Viridiplantae; Streptophyta; Polypodiopsida; Polypodiales; Dryopteridaceae.
GCGGAUAUGGUUGAAUGGUAAAAUAUCUCCUUGCCAAGGAGAUGGCGCGGGUUCGAUUCCCGCUAUCCGCC